UCGAAGCGCGUCUCUCUUUUGAGCGCCCAUGUUAGUUUGCGUCUCUUCUUGUUGUGAUCACAUCGGUCUUGGAAAAAUUUUAAGAUUUUGAAGAAAAUGGCAGAUAUUCUUGAAGAAUCAGAGUGAUUUGCCCUCAAAAAGAUGCAGUAAGUAUUUUUCGCAUAUAAAUAUGCAACUUUGGUCCUGGGUGAGGACUAGUUUCUCAUCCCAAGCAAACAACGCAAAUACAGCUUGAUAGCUAAUUAUAGAAAAUUAUUCUUUUAUUCCAGGCUAAUGUGAGCUAUACAAAAUUUCAUACCUCGAUUGUCGCAUUGGAACUGUGGAUUGAUAAUUAUAUGGCAGCUUAAACUGCGCGUGGAAAAAUGGAGUACAGGAAAAUUAAAGAUAUUUGCAUGCGGACCAAAACGUUCACUUCUAUAUAUCAAAGAUCCUGGGUAGUUUGCGGACGACGCUAAUUUUCCAAUGAAAGGCAAUAAAUUUGUUUGAAAACUCCGAUCAACAUUGAGAAAUUCUUGGAAACUGAAGUUUGAGCUAAAACAUUAAAUUGUGUGAAGUUUAGUGCGUUUGGUUUGAGUAGUGCAAAUCCAGCCGUAUUUUCACAAACAGCAGAAGGAAGCUACCGAGAGUCAUCGAUCAGCAGUGACAACACUAGAUAAGUACAGCCCACUGUUAAUCUUUUUUUUAAUUGUUUUGAUUUAUUUUUGUCUUUUGGAGUUUGUGAUACCAAUAAAAACCUGAUUAUUUUUAAAAUGGACUUGUACUAUUUUUCAUCAACCGAACCUACAAUAAAAAGUUAAAGGUUAAAGUAACCUAUUUGGACGGUAAAAAAAAGAAACUGAAAAAUAAAAUACAACCACCAAGUAGAAGUUGGAACAACCUUUAUUAACUAGGUUAAUUUUACCUUUAUAAAAAGGUACGGCGAAACUUCUGAAAAGGUACGCGGUUGCAGCCGCCGAGCGAUCCUUUACCUUCGCUUGAGGGUUGUAACAAACGUUCCGAUGAAGGUUGAAACAACCGUCUUUGAUGGUUAAAAUGCCUCGUACCUUGCAAGAAGGUUGUUUUAACGUUUACAAAUUAUUGACACCCCUGGAACCUUUUUUUGGAGGUUGUUGCAACCUUUAAAAGGUAAAAGAGUUUUUCAGUGUAUUGAAG
Long non-coding RNA from Neocloeon triangulifer, 1152 nucleotides. RefSeq lists it as uncharacterized. The transcript is spliced from 3 exons. NCBI's taxonomy places the organism in Eukaryota, Metazoa, Arthropoda, Insecta, Ephemeroptera, Baetidae. The record is from RefSeq and is a predicted model, not a curated record.